Molecule: ribosomal RNA, 478 nt
Filed under: uncultured bacterium
Lineage: Bacteria
Description: bacterial SSU rRNA
Rfam family: Bacterial small subunit ribosomal RNA
Source: RNAcentral
AUUGAACGCUGGCGGCAGGCCUAACACAUGCAAGUCGAACGGUAACAGGAAACAGCUUGCUGUUUCGCUGACGAGUGGCGGACGGGUGAGUAAUGUCUGGGAAACUGCCUGAUGGAGGGGGAUAACUACUGGAAACGGUAGCUAAUACCGCAUAACGUCGCAAGACUAAAGAGGGGGACCCUCGGGCCUCUUGCCAUCGGAUGUGCCCAGAUGGGAUUAGCUUGUUGGUGGGGUAACGGCUCACCAAGGCGACGAUCCCUAGCUGGUCUGAGAGGAUGACCAGCCACACUGGAACUGAGACACGGUCCAGACUCCUACGGGAGGCAGCAGUGGGGAAUAUUGCACAAUGGGCGCAAGCCUGAUGCAGCGACGCCGCGUGAAGGAUGAAGGCUUUCGAGUCGUAAACUUCUGUUAAGUGGAAGAAAUGCACAUGGUUAAUACCCAUGUGAGCUGACGGUACCACUAGAGAAAGCACCGG